AUUGGAAGUGAACAAGAUUUUUGCAGAGAUUUUCCCUGGUCAAGAGUGCAACAUGAGUCGUGGAUAUGAACUUUACUGUCAGAUGUACAUUGAUUGGAAAGUGAACAAGAUAUCUGCACUGAGAAUGAAUGAAGUUGAAGAAAGUUGAAAGGCACCCCUGAAGAACCUGAAUUAUUUUAGCCCUAUCCUAGAUUCAUUAAUUAAUAUAUUUUAGUGUGUGAUAACAUGUGUGAAAUGUGUUCAAUUAUGUGACAAUUUUCAAAAC
Molecule: long non-coding RNA, 265 nt
Organism: Dendronephthya gigantea
Lineage: Eukaryota; Metazoa; Cnidaria; Anthozoa; Malacalcyonacea; Nephtheidae
Exons: 3
Source: RefSeq, a predicted model, not a curated record